This 470-nucleotide ribosomal RNA is filed under the name uncultured bacterium. RNAcentral's name for it is "SSU rRNA". It matches the Rfam family "Bacterial small subunit ribosomal RNA", at positions 26 to 518 of the family's 1533-position model. The record is from RNAcentral.
AGAGCGAACGCUGGCGGCAGGCCUAACACAUGCAAGUCGAGCGCCCGUAGCAAUACGGGAGCGGCAGACGGGAUAGUAACACGUGGGAACGCGCCCUUCGGUUCGGAAUAACUCAGGGAAACUUGAGCUAAUACCGGAUACGCCCUUACGGGGAAAGAUUUAUUGCCGAAGGAACGGCCCGCGUCCGAUUAGCUAGUUGGUGAGGUAAUGGCUCACCAAGGCGACGAUCGGUAGCUGGUCUGAGAGGACGACCAGCCACACUGGAACUGAGACACGGUCCAGACACCUACGGGUGGCAGCAGUCGAGAAUUUUCUCAAUGGGCGAAAGCCUGAAGGAGCGACGCCGCGUGGGGGAUGAAUGGCUUCGGCCCGUAAACCCUGUCAUUUGUGAACAAAUUGUUUCAUCUAACACAUGAAAUAUUGAUAGUAACGGAAGAGGAAGGGACGGCUAACUCUGCGCCAGCAGCCGC